UACGGAGGGUGCAAGCGUUAUCCGGAUUCACUGGGUUUAAAGGGUGCGUAGGUGGGCUAGUAAGUCCGUGGUGAAAUCCCCGAGCUUAACUCGGGAACUGCCGUGGAUACUAUUAGUCUUGAAUAUCGUGGAGGUAAGCGGAAUAUGUCAUGUAGCGGUGAAAUGCUUAGAUAUGACAUAGAACACCGAUAGCGGAGGCAGCUUACUACGCGAUUAGUGACACUGAGGCACGAAAGCGUGGGGAUCAAACAGG
Molecule: ribosomal RNA, 253 nt
Filed under: uncultured bacterium
Lineage: Bacteria
Description: partial 16S ribosomal RNA
Rfam family: Bacterial small subunit ribosomal RNA
Source: RNAcentral